This is a long non-coding RNA of Cololabis saira (Pacific saury), 1802 nucleotides long. RefSeq lists it as uncharacterized. NCBI's taxonomy places the organism in Eukaryota, Metazoa, Chordata, Actinopteri, Beloniformes, Belonidae. The record is from RefSeq and is a predicted model, not a curated record. The transcript is spliced from 2 exons.
GUCUCUGACAGAGCAGCGGUGUACGUGGACGUUCCUGCUGGAACUCUGUCCUUCUACAGCGUCUCCUCUGACAGACUGAUCCACCUCCACACCGUCAACACCACAUUCACUGGACCUCUCUAUCCUGGGUUCUGGUUCUGGUCUGGUUCUGGUUCUGGUUCUGGUUCUGGUUCUUCAGUGUCUCUGUGUUGAGUUCAGUCUCCAGAGUCUCCUCCUGUCAGAGAAACUGUCUCUGUUGGACAGAUAGUUGAGUCUGUACACGUCUGUCUCUGUCUCCACCAGAACACCUGAAUCACACGUUGGUGAAACUGUUCUGAACGAUUCCUUGGAAACUUCUUCCUCUCCCGGUCCUUUAACGGUGAAGCUGCCGUUAUUCCAGGAUCCACACGUUGUUCUUCCGUCUGUUUCCAGUCAGAGCUUCACGGUGAACGGCAGCGUGUUGUUUCUCUGCAGCUCAGUUCAGCUCAGAUCCUUCACUUCAUGUUCAGCUGCAGGUAGUUUGCUGCACAUGUGACCAACUGUGAUGUCAGAGAGGAAUCACCGAGCUGCAAUCAGCCCAGAUGAAGUUACAACCUGCUGUCAGAUCUGAGCACAACGUUGCUGUGCAGCCAGGGUUCAUCCUGCUCUUUAUUCUCACCACUUCCCAAUAUUUGAUAUUCACUCAUUAAAAGUGCUGCCUCAACAUUUCCUCACAAUAAUUAUCAAAUUGAUUUAUCAUGCUAGGAAACAUAUUUCAGCAUGAAACAUUUUUUUAUUCUUUAUCCAUUUAGUUUGUUCCAAUUUUCAAAAGAUCACUUAUGUAACAUUUUAGUACCAAAUCAUGAACAUCUUGAAAUCAAGUCCCAUUUAAAGGAAACUCAACCACCAUAACACUUUUAGCAAAUCAUGAAGUCCCACAUCUGUAGAAAUGAUCAGGUUUAAAAUAAUCAGAACUUCCAAAUCCCCACAUUUGUACUAAUAAUCAAAUAUGUAGCACUGGUCUGAAGGUUUUCCUGACAGAGUGGUUGAUUUAAGAACAUCCAGCCACCAGGGGGGGCUGCUGCUCUCCAUCCCGCUGAGUGCUGCUUAUCGUGGUAGAAGAAGAGAGACAACGAUGAGAAGCUGAUGAUGUGGAUGAAGCUGUUAUAUUACUUUGUGUCAUGAAUCUGAUGUUUGUGGUUCAGUGUGCGUCCAGAGAAACAGACUGAGCCGGUCUGACCCCCGGUCUGACCCCCGUCCUCCUCCUGUCAGGGUGGAGCCUGCUGCUGCUGCUGGACCACCCACCACCACCACCACCACCACGGACCACACCAGCUCUGAGCAGGAGGAGGAGGUGGAACUGUGUGUUUUUAUUUCAUUCACACGCACAACAAACUGUCUGACGACAACAGGAAGAUGACACGUGUUGGCGACUGCUGGUUUGGAGGGAACCAUCAUUCCUGGAGUCUGGACUGUUCUGGUGACGGUCGGUACCGGCUCCUUCACAAUACAAGAGGAACAUCUUCCUCCUAGUUAUGUUAUCUGAAUGUCACUGACGGUUUUCUUUGUUGUCACUUAAAUGUGAUAGUAUGCAUAUUAUCUCUGUAUAUGAUGUUCAUGCUAAUAACAUUAUUAUUUGGAUUGUGUGCUAUGGUGAAACAUACGUUUAUGGCUGUUUAUGGAUUUAUAUUAUUCUUUGGUUUGUUCCAGAACCACACACACCCACCACAUCUCUAAGUUCACUCUCUAGACUGGAUUAAAGCACUGUAAAGGAAACUGACAGCUUCCUGCCUCUUCAUUUAAGUCUUGACACGCGCUUCACGAUUAAAAUACAGAGAAAGUCA